This 70-nucleotide transfer RNA is filed under the name Marmota monax (woodchuck). RNAcentral describes it as "tRNA.Ala". Lineage: Eukaryota; Metazoa; Chordata; Mammalia; Rodentia; Sciuridae. The record is from RNAcentral.
GGGCUGCAGCUCAGUGGCAGAGCGCUUGCCUGGCAUGUGUGAGGCACUGUGUUCGAUCCUCAGCAUCACA